Molecule: ribosomal RNA, 253 nt
Filed under: uncultured bacterium
Lineage: Bacteria
Description: partial 16S ribosomal RNA
Rfam family: Bacterial small subunit ribosomal RNA
Source: RNAcentral
UACGUAGGGUGCGAGCGUUAAUCGGAAUUACUGGGCGUAAAGCGUGCGCAGGCGGUUAUGUAAGACAGGUGUGAAAUCCCCGGGCUUAACCUGGGAACUGCAUUUGUGACUGCAUAGCUAGAGUACGGCAGAGGGGGAUGGAAUUCCGCGUGUAGCAGUGAAAUGCGUAGAUAUGCGGAGGAACACCGAUGGCGAAGGCAAUCCCCUGGGCCUGUACUGACGCUCAUGCACGAAAGCGUGGGGAGCAAACAGG